Molecule: long non-coding RNA, 1536 nt
Organism: Oncorhynchus tshawytscha (Chinook salmon)
Lineage: Eukaryota; Metazoa; Chordata; Actinopteri; Salmoniformes; Salmonidae
Source: Ensembl
AAUGAGGAUGUGCAGUUUUGAGGACAGCUUGGGAAAUGAGAGUAGCAUGUUCACUGCUCUCCGGUGACCGCACACAACAGUAUCGUUGUCAAUCAGGUCGAGGUGAUGGUUACUGUUUUCAGACGAGAGCUUCUUCAUGAAGCAGUUGCACAGUUCAGGGUCCCAGCAUGCAGCAGGAGCUGUGGCUGCGAGCAAAAUCUCAGGUGCUGUCCUCCCUCAAGCCUGUGUGCGCCCUGAGAGCAGUGUCCACAGACCCACCCCACCCUGCAAGCGCCGACCCCCACUGCUACACCAGAGCCGCUGACCUGACCCACAGCCCCCUGGCCAAGAUGUCCAACAGCGCCCCGUCUCCCCCGCAAUAGCCCCAACGUGCCCCCCCACCCCCGGCCCUCCCGAGAACGCCCAACCUUGGCCUCAGGACCAGAACGCUUAACCACAACGCCCAUUCACACACCCACUACCACAACAUCAGAGAUAAUGGCGUCAAAGCAGAGUUCAACCGCAGCUGCUCGGCCGAGGGACCCUCGGGACCACAGGCCAACCCUAUCAAAGCCUCCAGGACCCAUAAUGAGCUGCAUAAGGAACUGCUGCUAGCCCACAAAAAGGGUAAGGCCCUGUGCAGUAAGCCUGAGCUGCAGCAGGUGCUUGAGAGGCGUAAGAAGGAGCAGACUCAGAAAGAGGAGGGAGACCAGGCCAGGACUCCCCUGGAGGAGGUGCUUCUGAAACGGCAGCAGAAGAACACUGAGAGGGAGAAGCACGAAGGGGAGAAAGUACAGGAGGAGGCCCAGCUGUUGGAGUUUGUCCGAGUCCGACAGAACCUGAAAAAGAUCCAGGCUUUCCACAAGGCCACAAACUCUUGAGUUAGUUGCGUGGAUGGGCUUGGAAUAGACUGACUGACACAGAGUAGACUGUUGUACUGAAUGUUGCCUGGGAAAGGACAUAAAUCAGCAUUGACUCUCUCCCAACUUCUCCAAAAUGGCUUCCUUACACUGUCCUGCACAUUGACAAUACUGCGUUUGUGUGCAGAGUCAGAAACUCAAACAAUAUCACUGGUUCGAUUUGAAGGCAUAAGGAUACCUUGAACAUGGAAAUAUUUUAAGCCAAGGAGAAACAUCGACAAAUGUUCUCAUUUGAACUAGUUGUGGGGGAAUAAAAAAACAAUAUUGCUGUUCAAUGGAUCAGUCGAAAGGGUGUGGAUCUAUGGUUGGGAUGUUAGGACUCAAGACAGUAUUCAGUCAAUUGUGAAUAUAAAACUGUACUUUAGAAUUGAGGAAAAUGCAGUAUAAAAAAGACACUUGUAGAUGUUGUCCUUUGAGUUUGAUCAUGUAUACAGUACCCUUUUCUUGCCUUUUUGCUGUGGAGCUCAAAUUAGCCAAUGUCAGUAUUGUGAGUUUAGGCAUGUGUCUCUAUCAGUCUCUUUCAGUCAGAUAGGGGGAAAACUUGGGUUGUUACUUUUUCCUAUGUCAGACAAAUGAAAAUAUUGGGUUUGAAAAACUUGACAAAUUAAAUAAUCAUUUUUAACAUAUUGUUGUAAAG